This 433-nucleotide ribosomal RNA is filed under the name uncultured bacterium. RNAcentral describes it as "bacterial SSU rRNA". It matches the Rfam family "Bacterial small subunit ribosomal RNA", at positions 29 to 507 of the family's 1533-position model. The record is from RNAcentral.
AAUGAACGCUGGCGGCAGGCCUAACACAUGCAAGUCGAACGGAUCCUUCGGGAUUAGUGGCGGACGGGUGAGUAACGCGUGGGAACAUACCCAAAGGUACGGAAUAGCCUCGGGAAACUGGGAGUAAUACCGUAUGUGCUCGAAGGAGGAAAGAUUUAUCGCCUUUGGAUUGGCCCGCGUUGGAUUAGGUAGUUGGUGGGGUAAUGGCCUACCAAGCCGACGAUCCAUAGCUGGUUUGAGAGGAUGAUCAGCCACACUGGGACUGAGACACGGCCCAGACUCCUACGGGAGGCAGCAGUGGGGAAUCUUAGACAAUGGGGGAAACCCUGAUCUAGCCAUGCCGCGUGAUCGAUGAAGGCCUUAGGGUUGUAAAGAUCUUUCAGGUGGGAAGAUAAUGACUGUACCACCAGAAGAAGCCCCGGCUAACUCCGUG